Molecule: ribosomal RNA, 183 nt
Filed under: uncultured bacterium
Lineage: Bacteria
Description: partial 16S ribosomal RNA
Rfam family: Bacterial small subunit ribosomal RNA
Source: RNAcentral
ACAUGAAGCUGGAAUCGCUAGUAAUCGCGGAUCAGAAUGCCGCGGUGAAUACGUUCCCGGGUCUUGUACACACCGCCCGUCACACCAUGGGAGUCGGAAAUGCCCGAAGUCGGUGACCUAACUGAAAGGAAGGAGCCGCCGAAGGCAGGUCUGGUGACUGGGGUGAAGUCGUAACAAGGUAAC